RNAcentral lists this unclassified non-coding RNA (230 nucleotides) under uncultured fungus. RNAcentral's name for it is "sequence contains ITS1, 5.8S rRNA gene". The stretch from base 182 to 230 matches the Rfam family "5.8S ribosomal RNA", at positions 1 to 49 of the family's 154-position model. The record is from RNAcentral. Lineage: Eukaryota; Fungi.
UCUCCGUUGGUGAACCAGCGGAGGGAUCAUUACCGAGUGAGGGUUCCGGCCCGACCUCCAACCCUUUGUGAACCAAACUUGUUGCUUCGGGGGCGACCCUGCCGACGACUUUGUCGCCGGGCGCCUCCGGAGGUCUUCUAAACACUGCAUCUUUGCGUCGGAGUUUAAACAAAUUAAACAAAACUUUCAACAACGGAUCUCUUGGUUCUGGCAUCGAUGAAGAACGCAGC